This 462-nucleotide ribosomal RNA is filed under the name Triticum aestivum (bread wheat). RNAcentral's name for it is "partial small subunit ribosomal RNA". Lineage: Eukaryota; Viridiplantae; Streptophyta; Magnoliopsida; Poales; Poaceae. The record is from RNAcentral.
AUGACCCAAUCUCACGCGCGGGACGAACCCCGUCGACAAGCGCCAUUUUCUUCUUCCUCAACGACGGCCACCAAUUCCGAAUCCCAACAGGGUGAAGAAUACAAACAUCUGGAGUACAUCAUUCGAGGACCACCCCCUGCUAUCCAAUACUGCGGAGAGCUUGAAAAGUACUGUCACUGGGGCAAUGAAGUGAAGCUCUAUCAGCACCAUGUGGACAAGUUGUAUGCAAUGUUCCCCCGCAAAAUACUAGAUAUCAAAUACUAUGUCUGCACCAUCAACAAAACAUUCGCACAACAAGGCCAACGGAUGUAUUUUCAGGUCCACUACACCAAAGAAAACCUCAAAAAGUACAUUAAGCCAGAUGAUGACAUGCUCAAGGUCAAGCUCGCAAACAGCAGUCUGCACACCAAUUGUCGUAUCAUGCUGGGAACAGACAAAAGAGCACCAAUAACCAGAAACUAG